UUAAAAAAAUAUGAAACAAAUUUUGUAAAAUAGAAGUUAUAGGAAAAAAAAUAGAAUUUAAAAAAAAAUUGAAACAAAUUUUGUGAAAUAGAAGUUAUAGGAAAAAAAUGGAAUUUAAAAAAAUAUAUGAAACAAAUUUUGUAAAAUAGAAGUUAUAGGAAAAAAAUAGAAUUUAAAAAAAAUUGAAACAAAUUUUGUAAAAUAGAAUUGAAAAAAAAUAUGAAACAAAAUUUGAUUCAUAU
Molecule: long non-coding RNA, 242 nt
Filed under: Malus domestica (apple)
Lineage: Eukaryota; Viridiplantae; Streptophyta; Magnoliopsida; Rosales; Rosaceae
Description: long non-coding RNA (MDOM_LNC000688)
Source: RNAcentral